RNAcentral lists this unclassified non-coding RNA (245 nucleotides) under Hevea brasiliensis (rubber tree). Lineage: Eukaryota; Viridiplantae; Streptophyta; Magnoliopsida; Malpighiales; Euphorbiaceae. The record is from RNAcentral.
UUUUAAACUGAAAAUAAAAUUACCAUCAUUUGUUGCAUGCAAUUCACCCGAAAUUGAACUCAAGAAACUUUAGCAUACAGGCGACAAGUUAAACUCCUAGCAAAAGAAGGUCUAAAAACAACUGAGAAAUCAAAACUCAAGUGCUUCCGCAGACUUAAAAAAAGAAGAGAACUAGUUAGCAUUAGCGGAAAUUUCUACACGAAAUACCCAAAAUUCCUAAACACCAAAAUUACACCAUAUUGGCU